AUGAAAUUCAAGUCGGCAAAUUGUGCUGGCGCUCUGCGCAUGUGCACGUUUGUCGCAAAUCCACACACCUGUGCACUUUAGACUCCGAGCGAGCAGCUUUAGGGCUGCACCUCGGAGUAUUUACACACACUGUAUGUAAAAGGAUGAUGUUAGUGCUUUGCACAAAAAACAUA
This 173-nucleotide unclassified non-coding RNA is filed under the name uncultured Sebacinaceae. Its description in RNAcentral is "sequence contains ITS1". The record is from RNAcentral. Lineage: Eukaryota; Fungi; Basidiomycota; Agaricomycetes; Sebacinales; Sebacinaceae.